AUCGUUGUUUCGAUCUCAUUAAUAAUAAAUUAUAUGUUUCUCGUCAUGUCGUGUUUUUUAAGCACAUUCCAUUUUUCUCUAUUUCUGGUAAUACUCAUAACGUGACUAGAACUGACCUCAUUAAUAUUGAUCCAUUCUCUGAUGAUAUAAACAAUUCACCUUUCCAUACCCCAUGUACUAUUGAUUCUUCAUGUCCUGCAGGUACACAUGCUUCAGAUCAUGCUACCCCUCUUCCUUCUAUGGCUUCCCAAGCACCGCCUGAGAUUAUUGAUCCAACUCCUGCUUCAUCUCUUCCUCGUUAUCCUCAACGUAUUCGUAAGUUCAGUCAGUUACCUAAUUUUGAUUAUUCUUGUUAUUCUGAGUCCUUUUGUUAUUUUCUAGCAUCCAUUCAUAAGUUAGUUGAACAAUCUUCCUAUAAAGAAGUUGGAUCCUCUUUUGCAACAAGCUAUGGCUGAUGAACUUUCUCUCUGCAUAAGAUAGACACUUGGGACUUUGUUGAAUUGCCUUCAGGUAAACAUGCUAUUAGUUGUCAUUGGGUUUAUAAGAUUAAAACCAAAUCUAACAAUUCGAUUGAAAGUUACAAGGCUUGAUUGGUUGCUAAAGGUUUUAAUCAACAAUAAGGUUUAGACUCUGAGGAGACUUUUGCUCAUGUUGCCAAGAAAAUCACUGUUCGUACACUUAUUGCAGUUGCAUCUGUUCGUCAAUGGAGUCUCUCUCAAUUGGAUGUCAAAAUGCCUUUUUAAAUGGAAAUAUUUAAGAGGAAGUUUAAAUGAUUCCUCCUCCUGGUCUUUCUCACUCUCCUGGAUUUGUUUGCAAACUCAAGAAGGCACUUUAUGGCCUCAAACAAGCACCUCGUGCCUAAUUUGAGAAAUUUCUCACUAUUGUUAGCUCUCUAGGUUUAACAUCUAGUCAUCAUGACUCCGCUUUAUUCUUUAGAUGAACUUCAGCUGUUGGCAUUCUAUUAUUGUUAUAUGCCGACGAUAUGAUUAUUACUGUGAUGAUGUUGAUGGAAUUGCAAGUUUGAAAUUAGAUUGGCUUGUCGUUUUGAAAUGAAGGACUUGGGUACACUGUCUCAUUUUUUGGGGAUCGAAGUUGCUUCUUCUCCUAAACGUUAUCUUAUCUCUCAGUCCAAGUAUGCUAUAGAUGUUAUUGAGCGUGCUCAUCUUAGUACUCCUCUUGAGUCUAAUGCUCGAUAUUCAUCCUCUGACAAUGUACACCAUUGACUAACCCACUUUGUAUCGCACUAUUGUUAGAUGUCUAGUUUAUCUUACUAUCACACGUCACGAUAUUGCUUAUGUUGUUCACAUUGUUAGUCAAUUUGUUUCAGCUCCUACUACAGUGCAUGGGGCAGCAGUUGUUCGUAUUUUACGUUAUCUUGGCGGUACAUGCUUUCAAAUUCUUUUGUUUCCAUCAACCUUAUCCUUAGUGCUCCAUGCCUACUCUGAUACUGAUUGGGCCAGCGACCCCAUUGAUUGCAAGUCCACCGCUGGUUUUUGUAUAUUUUUGGAUGAUUCUCUUAUCUCUUGGAAAAGUAAGAAGUAGACUGUUAUUUUCCGUUCCUCUAUAGAAACAGGGUGUCGAGCUAUGGCCUCCACUACCACUGAGAUUAUGUGGUUGCGAUGGUUACUUGCAAAUAUGGGUCUUUCUCAUUCUUCCCCAACUCCUAUGUAUUGUGAUAAUACUAGUGCUAUUCAGAUCUCUCACAACUCUGUGUUCCAUGAACGCACAAAGCAUAUUGAGAUUGAUUGUCAUCCGGUUCGUCAUCAUCUGCAGACUGGCACCAUUUCCCUACCUUUUGUUUCUUCAUCGUUACAACUUGCUGACUUCUUCACUAAGUCCAUCCGGUUCAUCGUUUUCACUUCUUACAUGACAGACUCUCGCUGUUUCUUGCUUUAGCAUCAUGAGUUUGAGGGGAGAUAAUAAUAUACAUGUUUAUAUUUAUUUUAUUUAGCAUAAUAUUUAAUUUCCUUUUUAGGUUUCCUUGUAGUAGUAUAAAAUCUAUAUUUAUUUUCAUUGUAAA
This 2020-nucleotide long non-coding RNA is filed under the name Olea europaea subsp. europaea. The record is from RNAcentral. Lineage: Eukaryota; Viridiplantae; Streptophyta; Magnoliopsida; Lamiales; Oleaceae.